UUUAAGUUACCUCUAACCUCAUAUUGAAACUGGACAAGUUUCUUUGGACCAACCUCAACCUGGAACCAACCUUAACUAACUGUCCAAGAGAUCCAUCCAUAUGAAUACCACCCUUCCUUCCCCAAAAGAAUAUAUGUUGUGUCAUAAGCUGGCACAACAAUCUUAUACAUUCCCUCAGAAUUUGGCAAUCCACAAACAGAAAUUC
Molecule: long non-coding RNA, 205 nt
Filed under: Lathyrus oleraceus (garden pea)
Lineage: Eukaryota; Viridiplantae; Streptophyta; Magnoliopsida; Fabales; Fabaceae
Description: Pisum sativum (pea) long non-coding RNA (PSAT_LNC006200)
Source: RNAcentral